GAGUUUGAUCCUGGCUCAGAUUGAACGCUGGCGGCAUGCCUUACACAUGCAAGUCGAACGGCAGCACGGGAGCAAUCCUGGUGGCGAGUGGCGAACGGGUGAGUAAUAUAUCGGAACGUGCCCAGUAGAGGGGGAUAGCCCGGCGAAAGCCGGAUUAAUACCGCAUGAGACCUGAGGGUGAAAGCGGGGGAUCGCAAGACCUCGCGCUACUGGAGCGGCCGAUAUCAGAUUAGCUAGUUGGUGGGGUAAAGGCCUACCAAGGCAACGAUCUGUAGUUGGUCUGAGAGGACGACCAGCCACACUGGGACUGAGACACGGCCCAGACUCCUACGGGAGGCAGCAGUGGGGAAUUUUGGACAAUGGGCGCAAGCCUGAUCCAGCAAUGCCGCGUGCAGGAAGAAGGCCUUCGGGUUGUAAACUGCUUUUGUCAGGGAAGAAAUCCUCUGGGUUAAUACCUCGGGGGGAUGACGGUACCUGAAGAAUAAGCACCGGCUAACUACGUGCCAGCAGCCGCGGUAAUCC
This 522-nucleotide ribosomal RNA is filed under the name uncultured bacterium. RNAcentral's name for it is "bacterial SSU rRNA". It matches the Rfam family "Bacterial small subunit ribosomal RNA", at positions 9 to 526 of the family's 1533-position model. The record is from RNAcentral.